UGAGGAAUAUUGGUCAAUGGACGCAAGUCUGAACCAGCCAAGUAGCGUGCAGGAUGACGGCCCUAUGGGUUGUAAACUGCUUUUAUAUGGGGAUAAAGUGGGGAACGUGUUCCCUUUUGCAGGUACCAUAUGAAUAAGGACCGGCUAAUUCCGUGCCAGCAGCCGCGGUAAUACGGAAGGUUCGGGCGUUAUCCGGAUUUAUUGGGUUUAAAGGGAGCGUAGGCUGUCUAUUAAGCGUGUUGUGAAAUUUACCGGCUCAACCGGUGGCUUGCAGCGCGAACUGGUCGACUUGAGUAUGCAGGAAGUAGGCGGAAUUCAUGGUGUAGCGGUGAAAUGCUUAGAUAUCAUGACGAACUCCGAUUGCGCAGGCAGCUUACUGUAGCAUAACUGACGCUGAUGCUCGAAAGUGCGGGUAUCAAACAGG
Molecule: ribosomal RNA, 424 nt
Filed under: Verrucomicrobiota bacterium
Lineage: Bacteria; Pseudomonadati; Verrucomicrobiota
Description: Verrucomicrobia bacterium partial 16S ribosomal RNA
Rfam family: Bacterial small subunit ribosomal RNA
Source: RNAcentral